AGAGGUAUACAUUUUAUAACACCAUGUACAAUCCUAUUAAGCUUAGUAAAACGUAUACACGAAUGUAUCAUCUAACGUAUGGUCGUAGCUUCUCCUAUGUCUGUGGAAAACCCUAAUCUCCUCUACCCACUAUCAGUCGUCGUUUCUUCCAAAUCUAUUCCGUCUACCUCCUUACUUUCUUCAAUCUCUGAUAGGUGUCCGUUGCCACCACCCUCCUAAAUUCGUCGCUAUUGCCACCCUCCCGACGUUGUCGUUACCUUCACCGGCGUCUACAGCCCUGCUUCUACCUUAUGUCUAGAUGAGAAACCCUAACUCUAUGUCGCUGCCACCAUCAAUGCCACCACCAGACACUGUUAACUGCAAGCCCUAACCCUAGAUUGGCUCCACCAUCGCCACCAGACAUCACACACCAUAAACAAGAAAAAACCCCCAUCAUGAAUGAUUUCUCAUUCCCCUUUGUGUCACACCACUAUUUCACCCAUACCGCACCACCACCAAUUAUGCGAUUACACCGCCAAAUAUUUCUAUCUUUGUCUCCAUCUGCUCCCGCACUACUUCUCAUGCAAUGAACCCCUACGACUGCCAUUUCACUCAUCAAUCUUCUUCCUGUUGUCUCGCUCAAAAACGUCAACCCCUAUCACCUUCCUUUUGUUGUCUGUGUUAACCGGUGUGUGUGUGUGGGUUUCGAUUUCAUUUGCUAGGGCUUAGAUGGUCUUGAAGUCCUCCAAGGGUGUAUUGAAAAAACAAGAGAAAGGUCCAAAAAUCUGGAACUUUCCAUCCGACGAAUGUUGAAUCAACCUCCGGUUUUUCGUGGUGUUUUACAAUUUUAACAGGUUACCCUCCUUUUUAUUGCUUUAUUGAGUUGAACAAACCAUUUCAUAUUUGUGAUUUUGGUAUUUCAUUUUCUUUUUCUAUCACAUCCCUUACAGGUUCGUUUUUACACAUAAAGAUACUGGUUGUGUUGAACCUAUAAUCCCUAGAUAUUGACCCGCUGCUUCCCUCACCACCAGUGGUUGCCGCUUCUUCCCUCACUGAUAAAUGGUUGUGGUUUCAGGGGAAUCAACUCUUAGAUCAUGCUUUCUUUGUUUGGAUUUUUGAAGUAAUUAAUAGUUGUUGGGAAAACUUCCUUUUUUGGUUAGAUAAAUUGACUAGAAUGAGUUUUUACUUGUAUUCCUGUGACCUUUUAUCGAUGUUUUUUCAUAUGAUAGUUCCAGUAGCAUUCAAUAUGCUUGUAGUCAAUGCUUAUUUGCUCAAUUAUAUAUGAUCAUAACCCUACUAUGCUUCUAAAGGCUAACCCCAAGCUUCUGUUUUUACCGGUCUUAACGUUUGUCUUCAUUAUAGCUUGCAGGUGGUCAACACUGAAUGCAAAAAUUGACAAAAAUAGAAGCUUGGAGUACAUAUCAAACUUUUAGUUGGUAAUUUUUUUAGUGUAAUGUUUUAGUAUAAAAUUCUUUUUUGGUAAAUGUUUGUGUAUGUUUUUAUUUACAAUAGAUGGAUGUAAAUGAUGGGUUUAUGGCAGAUUGUAGGAUACGAAUGUUCGUUUGUGUUUGUUUGGCUUUAUGUUCAUUUGCUGUAAUUUUUGGACCAUUUUCAUCCUGAUCUUGAGUGCUUACAGUUCCAUACACCACGUAUGUAUUGAUAUUUUGAUUCCGUACAUUGGGUGCAGGUAGCCUCUGGUAGCUUGAUGAGUUAAUUUUCUUGAAUCUUUUUUCCCUUGAUUUUUUUUGUGCAACAGAUGAUAAAAUUACUUGGAGUCAUGCAGUUUGUUUGAAGGAUCAUUGUACGCAGUCGUUGGACCAAUAUCAUGCUGUAAAUUAUAACUUAUUGUAGAGGAGGAGAGUGAUAUUUCUUAUACACCUGAAGAAAUUGUGGUUAGUAAUUAGGCAAAAUAUAGUACACUAUAAACAAUUCUUGCUGGGUUUGAGUAUACAUGUUUUUUUUAUGAUUUCUGUAAAUAGAUUUGUGGGAUUAUUUUACAAAUUUUCUUGAUUUUCAGGUAAUAAAUUCCAUCCAUUUUUGGUA
Non-coding RNA from Lactuca sativa (garden lettuce), 2022 nucleotides. Lineage: Eukaryota; Viridiplantae; Streptophyta; Magnoliopsida; Asterales; Asteraceae. The record is from RefSeq and is a predicted model, not a curated record.